This 270-nucleotide long non-coding RNA is filed under the name Carica papaya (papaya). Its description in RNAcentral is "long non-coding RNA (CPAP_LNC016366)". Lineage: Eukaryota; Viridiplantae; Streptophyta; Magnoliopsida; Brassicales; Caricaceae. The record is from RNAcentral.
CCCUUACACGAAAACCAAAAACGUACUUAAAAUAUAAAAGGUUAAACUAACUAAAAGAGAAACUCGAAAAUAAAGCUAUGAGUAUGACUACAGAGUCUCUAGGCAUCCCUUUCGUCGUCCUCCUGCGGAACGGGCUCGGGAACCAUAUCUUCCUGAUCUGAAAUGGUUAAAUAAGGAGUGAGCUACACUAGCCCAGUAAGAACAUCACGAUAUCUCACCGUCACGGAGGUAAAGGUGGGUAGAAAACACAAAGGACCCAUGGAGCAUGUU